This 500-nucleotide ribosomal RNA is filed under the name uncultured bacterium. RNAcentral describes it as "partial 16S ribosomal RNA". It matches the Rfam family "Bacterial small subunit ribosomal RNA", at positions 28 to 507 of the family's 1533-position model. The record is from RNAcentral.
GACGAACGCUGGCGGCGUGCUUAACACAUGCAAGUCGAACGGGUCUGCCCUGUUUUUUGCGGGGUGGGUCAGUGGCGAACGGGUGAGUAACACGUGAGUAACCUGCCCCUCACUUCUGGAUAACCGCUUGAAAGGGUGGCUAAUACGGGGUGUUCUGGCUGUGCCGCAUGGUGUGGCUGGGAAAGAUUCACUUUUGUGGUGUUUUGGUGGGGGAUGGGCUCGCGGCCUAUCAGCUUGUUGGUGGGGUGAUGGCCUGCCAAGGCUUUGACGGGUAGCGGGCCUGAGAGGGUGGGCGGUCACACUGGGACUGAGAUACGGCCCAGACUCCUGCGGGAGGCAGCAGUGGGGGGUAUUGCACAAUGGGCGGAAGCCUGAUGCAGCGACGUCGCGUGAGGGAUGGAGGCCUUCGGGUUGUGAACCUCUUUCGCCGGUGAAGAAGGUCCUGCUCUUUGUGGUGGGGUUGACGGUAGCCGGGUUAUGAAGCGCCGGCUAACUACGUG